This 279-nucleotide ribosomal RNA is filed under the name uncultured bacterium. RNAcentral describes it as "partial 16S ribosomal RNA". It matches the Rfam family "Bacterial small subunit ribosomal RNA", at positions 28 to 334 of the family's 1533-position model. The record is from RNAcentral.
GAUGAACGCUGGCGGCGUGCUUAACACAUGCAAGUCGAACGAAACCUUUCGGGGUUUAGUGGCGGACGGGUGAGUAACGCGUGAGGAUCUGCCUAUAGGACGGGGACAACAGUGGGAAACUGCUGCUAAGACCCGAUGUGCCGAGAGGUGAAAUAUUUAUAGCCUGUAGAUGAGCUCGCGUCUGAUUAGCUAGUUGGUGUGGUAAGGGCAUACCAAGGCGACGAUCAGUAGCUGUUCUGAGAGGAAGAUCAGCCACACUGGGACUGAGACACGGCCCAG